RNAcentral lists this ribosomal RNA (493 nucleotides) under uncultured bacterium. Its description in RNAcentral is "bacterial SSU rRNA". It matches the Rfam family "Bacterial small subunit ribosomal RNA", at positions 95 to 606 of the family's 1533-position model. The record is from RNAcentral.
GCGGCGGACGGGUGAGUAACGCGUGGGUAACCUGCCCCUCAGCCCGGGAUAACCGUCGGAAACGAUGGCUAAUACCGGAUGCUGUAUACAUAUCGCAUGAUGUGUAUACGAAAGUUCAGGCGCUGAGGGAUGGGCCCGCGUCCCAUUAGCUAGUUGGUGAGGUAACGGCUCACCAAGGCGACGAUGGGUAGCCGGCCUGAGAGGGUGACCGGCCACACUGGGACUGAGACACGGCCCAGACUCCUACGGGAGGCAGCAGUCGGGGAUCUUCCACAAUGGGCGAAAGCCUGAUGGAGCGACGCCGCGUGAGGGAUGAAGGUCUUCGGAUCGUAAACCUCUGUCUUCCGGGACGACAAUGACGGUACCGGAGGAGGAAGCCACGGCUAACUACGUGCCAGCAGCCGCGGUAAUACGUAGGUGGCGAGCGUUGUCCGGAAUUACUGGGCGUAAAGGGUGCGUAGGCGGUGCCUUAAGUCCUGUGUGAAAUCUAUCG